RNAcentral lists this ribosomal RNA (292 nucleotides) under uncultured bacterium. RNAcentral describes it as "partial 16S ribosomal RNA". The record is from RNAcentral.
GGACUACCAGGGUAUCUAAUCCUGUUUGCUCCCCACGCUCUCGCGCCUCAGCGUCAGUAUUUGUCCAGGUAGCCGCCUUCGCCACUGGUGUUCCUUCCGAUCUCUACGCAUUUCACCGCUACACCGGAAAUUCCACUACCCUCUACAAUACUCUAGCCUACCAGUAUGAGAUGCAGUUCCUAGGUUAAGCCCAGGGAUUUCACAUCUCACUUAAUAAACCGCCUACGCGCCCUUUACGCCCAGUAACUCCGAUUAACGCUCGCACCCUCUGUAUUACCGCGGCUGCUGGCAC